This 114-nucleotide ribosomal RNA is filed under the name Erinaceus europaeus (western European hedgehog). Lineage: Eukaryota; Metazoa; Chordata; Mammalia; Eulipotyphla; Erinaceidae. The record is from RNAcentral.
GUCUACGGCCAUACCACCCUGAACACGCCCGAUCUCGUCUGAUCUCGGAAGCUAAGCACGGUCGGGCCUGGUUAGUACUUGGAUGGGAGAAUAGAACCAGAAAUGCCACAAUGA